This 457-nucleotide ribosomal RNA is filed under the name uncultured bacterium. Its description in RNAcentral is "partial 16S ribosomal RNA". It matches the Rfam family "Bacterial small subunit ribosomal RNA", at positions 28 to 523 of the family's 1533-position model. The record is from RNAcentral.
GAUCAACGCUGGCGGCGUGCCUAAUACAUGCAAGUCGUACGGAAAGGCCCUUCGGGGUACUCGAGUGGCGGACGGCUGAGUAACGCGUGGGAACGUGCCCCAAAGUGAGGGAUAACGCACCGAAAGGUGUGCUAAUACCGCAUAUGGUCUUCGGAUUAAAGCUUCGGCGCUUUGGGAGCGGCCCGCGUACGAUUAGAUAGUUGGUGAGGUAAUGGCUCACCAAGUCGACGAUCGUUAGCUGGUCUGAGAGGAUGAUCAGCCAGACUGGGACUGAGACACGGCCCAGACUCCUACGGGAGGCAGCAGUAAGGAAUCUUCCACAAUGGGGGCAACCCUGAUGGAGCAACGCCGCGUGCAGGAUGAAGGUUUUCGAAUCGUAAACUGCUUUUAUAAGUGAAGAAUAUGACGGUAACUUAUGAAUAAGGAUCGGCUAACUACGUGCCAGCCGCCGCAGUAA